AAUAUUUGGCAUAUUUACUUAAUUAAAAUAUUGUAUUCAUACCUUCCCCAUUUUUAAACUUACCCAUGGAGAAGAGGGAAGAUGACUUGCUCUUCUGUAGCAAUUCUCCGCCUUGGGGUUGCUCCUAGGGAUAAAAGGAGACUUUAGCCUAUGAAGCCCAACCCACAUACCAUGGCCUCUAUUUUUGUGAUCCUGGCACAAGUGCAAAAAUUAGUCAUUAGAUAAACUGUUAAUCUUUCUUCUAAUAAAAAAACACAUUAUAAUUUUUGUAAAUAUUUUUGCUCAAAACUGUAUAUUCCAAAAUUAUUGACACACCUACAUUGCAUUACAUUUGAAAAAUUGUUAUUGCUCCAAAACCUGAUUCUUGAUGUGCUCUCAAGCCCCAGGUUCUCUGUUGUUGGCUUUAGCCAUGUUACAUUUCCUUGAGGUAUAAAUAUGACGUUCAACACUUAAAAAUCCCAUCAUACACCGAUCAGCCAUGAUAUUAAAACCACCGGCUUAAUAUUGUGCUCCCUUGUGCCGCCAAAACAGCUCUGACUCAUCGAGGCAUGGACUCCACAAGUCCUCUUAAGGUGUGCUAUGGUAUCUUGUACCAAGAUGUUAGCAGCAGAUCCUGUAAGUUGUGAGGUGGGGCCUCCAUGAAUUAAACUUGUUUGUCCAGCACAUCAUACAGAUGCAUGAUCAGAUUGAGAUCUGGGGAAUUUGGAGGCCAAGUCAACACCUUGAACUCUUUGUCAUGUUCCUCAAACCAUUCCUGAACAAUUGUUGCAGUGUGGCAGGGCGCAUUAUCCAGUUGCCAUGAAGGGGUGUACUUGGUCUGCAACAAUGUUUAGGUAGGUGGUACUUGUCAAAGUAAUAUCUACAUGAAUGCCAUAACAAAAGGUAUCCCAGCAGAACAAUGCUAAGAGCAUCACACAGCCUCCACCGGCUUGACUUCUUUCAAAAAUGCAUCCUGGCGCCAUUUCUUCCACAAUUAAGCAACACACAUGCACCUACCUGUCCACAUGAUGUAAAAGAAAAGUGAUUCAUUAGACCAGGCCACCUUCUUCCAUUGCUCCAUGGUCCAGUUCUGAUGCUUACGUGCCCCUUGAGGUGCUUUCGAUGGUGGACAGGGGUUAGCAUGGGCACUCUGACCAUUCAGUGUCUACACAGCUCCAUACACUGCAAGCUGCAAUGCACUCUGUACAGACACCUUUCUAUGACAGCCAACAUCAACCUUUUCAGCAGUUUGUUCUACACUAGCUUUCUGGGGGAUUGGACCAGACUUUGCUCCCCACACAAAUCAAUGAGCCUUGGGUGCCUAUGACCCUGUUGUCCUUCCUUGGACCACUUUUGGUUGUCACCUUAUGCUUGACAAAUUUUGUUGCUUCCAACACAUCAACUUCAAGCACUGACUGUUCACUUGCUGCCUAAUCUAAUCAGCAGAAAAAGAAAUGACCCUUUUUCAGGAGACUGUUUUUUAAAGAUAAUUUUGUAAAAUCCAAAUGAUCUUUAUUGGAAUGCGAUUGAACAACGUUUUUCAUGCUUGUUCAAUGAACCAUAAACAAUUAUUGCACAUGCACCUGUGGAACAGACCUUAAGACACUAACAGUUUACAGGUGGUAAGCAAUUAAGGUCACAGUUACAAUAACUUAGGACACUAAAGAGACCUUUCUACUGACUCUGAAAAAACACCAGAAGAAAGAUGCCUAGGGUGCCUGCUCACCUGCGUGAACAUGUCAUAGGCCUGCUGCAGGGAGGCAUGAGUACUGCAGAUGGGGCCAGAGCAAUAAACUGCAAUGUUCGUAAUGUAAGACGCAUAAGAUGGUACAACAGGGAGACAGGAAGGUCAGCUGAUUGUCCUUGCACUGGAAAAUUACAUGUAAUCAUGUCCCCCAUAGACAGGAUCGAGAACUUGCAAAUGCCUUGGUGGAAGAGUGGGGUAACAUAUGACAGCAAGAACUGACAAAUCUGGUGCAGUCCAUGAGGACAAGAUGUACUGUGGUACUUAAAGCAGCUGGUGGCAACACCAGACACUGACUGUUACUUUUGAUAUUGACCCCCCCGUUUGUUCAGGGACUCAUUAUUCCAUUUCUGUUCUUAAAAUGUCUGUGAAACUUGUUCAGUUUAUGUCUUAGUUGUUUAAUAUUUUUAUGUUAAUACAAAUAUUUACACAUGGUAAGAAAUCUGCUGGAAAUUAAAACAGUUGAAUGGGACAGGAAAUUAAUUUUUUUUGUUGAGUAUACGGUAUCUCACAAAAGUGAGUACACCCCUCACAUUUUUGUAAAUAUUUGAUUAUAUCUUACAAAUAUUUUACAAAAAUGUGAGGGGUGUACUCCCUUCUGUGAGAUAUUGUAUAUCCAACCCAUUGACAGAUGCCAUUGUGACAAAAUAACCAAUGUUAUUCACGUCACCUGUCGGUAGUUUUAAUGUUAUGGCUGGUUAGUGUAUAUUACCAUGGAGAAAACCAAAGACAGGUUGCUGCUAAUCAAGAUGAUUCGCCACACAUACUUGCAAAUCAAGAUAAUACUGGUUAAAGAAACACAAAAUUGUUUCAUUGUCAACAUGUUUAACAUGUUGAAUAAAACUAUAUAUGUGCCGGAGUUCAAAAUAUCACUUAUUUAAUAAUUUAUUGUUUUUAUUUUUAUGCUCACUUUCAUAAAGGAUGUCAAUUAUUCUGGAUGUCACUGUAUAUUCUUGUUUUCUUUCACAAUUCCUGCAGAUGUUAACAUGGUGAAGGAAGGUGCAAUUGUAAAAAGGACUGGGGUAAAUGAAAGCAUUGUCAAGAUGUGAUUAGACAUGCUGCUGCAAUAUUUCACGUCAGCUCCUCCCAAAGUGUGAACAGUGCCGCGACAUUUUAAAUCAUUUUAAUCUAAUAUGAUUAGAUUCCACAUCAAUAUUUUAGUGGAAGAAAUAAAUCACUGGCUGCUGUAAAUUAGGGCCUGUUUACAUCUAGUCACUGCAUGCAUUUUCUCUGAUUGGAUAGCUAUCCGAUUGUGAAAAUAUCAGGUGUAAAUGUCUUCCGAAACGCAUUCAAGAUGGAUUUAAAUCUGAUCGUACAAACCACUUCAGAAGGUGGUCUGGGAUGCAUUCCAGAUGAAACUGGACAAGUGCAAAUGCAUCUGGUAGUUGAAACCACAUAUGUCAGCGCUUUUCUCCUCCCAAAUGGAAGUAGGUCACUCGUUUUAGCCGCACCAGAAGCAAAAACAACUUAUUGACCAGUACAGACUGACGGAGAUGAGAGUGCCUGCUCAUUAAAUUGCUUUGCAGGCUGACACAAAGAUAAUCGAAGGUCCAGCACCCCAUUCGGAAACUGGAUAGCCAGUAUUGUUCCGUAAAAGGAGCCAGCACUAUGUUUUCCCACCAGCGUUGACUCCUAGCUUUCAUCCAGGUAUCUCGCUGGGUUUUAAAGUUUAGUACUGCUGACAGCGAAAACGCUGCACAUAAUAUGUGCUGCCUUUUGUUGGUUAAGUGUUGUAGCAGGCAUUUUCGUUUUCUUUUUCGACUGCAUUCGCAAACCCCAAUAGAGCAAAAUAACAGUGGCUGGCAUUUCAGUUCAGCAGAAAUGUGUAUUUGCAUUUUGAGCGGGAAUAGAAGAUCGGAUUCAUAUCCAUUUAGUUGAAACGCAUUAUGUGGCCAAGUAUGAAUGGAACCAUUUUAACAAAUCAGUUAGCUAUCUUAUCAGAGAAAAUGCAUGAAGUGACAAGGCGUAAACAGGCUCUUAAUGUGUUUUCUGUCCACAAUAUCUCACUGGGUGGUUACAAACUCAUUUCACUGGUAUUGUCAUGAAAAAAUUAUUGGGAAUACAGACAGGUGAGAAAUUAAAGGAAAAAUCAACAAAGUAACUUUGGAAAUGUACUGAAGGGAUGAACUACUCCCAGAAGGAUAGAAAUGUUUCCUCAUAUAAUAAAGUGAUCAGUGAGAAUAACUUCAUUGAUUUACAGUGACCAUCUGUAAGAGAGCCACCACAGAACCUCACUGUAAGGAUCAAGUAUUCAGAUGUGUACCAUUCUUUAAUGAGGUCUUUACUCAUCGAUCUAAAUGCAGAUGCCACUUUAAUUAUUCUUCCUAUUGAAACACUAGCCAGUUGAGCGAUCUCUGUGACAGAAUUACCUAUCAUCCAUGACCCAAUAAUGAAACCUCUUUCAAUGUAAAUUAGCUCUUUUAUGCUUGCCAUCAUGAUCCAAAAGCAAAUUGAUCUAAAAGCAAUAAAAAAUGGGUCUCCUCAGCAUAAUUAUCCAUGCCACCGAACUGUCAAAUGCAUCAUGUAUGUCUGGAGGCAUAUGCACACAUUAUGUUUGUCCACUCAUAUAGUCAAGUUCAUCCUUUAUCACUUCUCUGUACACAUGUGCACUAAAACAAAAUCCCAAGACUGUAUAGCAAAAAGUUAAUCAAAGAUAAGAAAAAAAUCCUGGCUUUUGGUGACUUAGGGACACUAUAAGAUACAGUUCAUAACAACAGAAACAACAAAGUUUUAAAGAGCGAGCUUGUCCAUGUGUUCAACAUCUCUAUGCUGCUGCACACUGACAAAUGUGCGUGGCCCCCCCAGAAUCAGAAUCACACAAACGGAGCAUGAGAUUGAACCCUAAACUUGAAGUUGAACUUGAACAAGGUGAAUGCCUGAACUGGUAAAAAUAAAAGUGAGCCUUAAGCUCUUUUGAAAAUCCUCCUGUCUCUUAAGCCUUCCUCCACACAUACGCCCACAGAGUCCUACAACGUCAAAUACAACCCCAGUCUAACAGAUUCUGCUAUACCCCAACUUCCUAACAUGCUGGAGUAUGCGAAGAAAAGAAUUUCACUGUGCUGUAAAGAAUACAUGACCAAUAAAGACUCAUUAUCAUUAUAAGACACUAAUUAGCUUGUGCUUACUCAAUCAUUCAGGGCUCUCCCCCUCCUACAAUGCCCCUGAAGUAAGUAGGUAACAUAUUUUUAACCUGUUAUCAAGUCGCUGUCAUCGUUGUCCUCCUUUGCUUUUUCAUCCAAAACAACUUUGAUUUUGGAUGCCUUUGAACACUUUCCAGCAGUUUCUUUUGCUCUGGCCUUCAUAUUCUCAGAUUUUGAAAUGGGGUGCACAACAUCAUGGGUCAAGUGUAAGUCAUUGAUAAAGCCUCCUUUGAGCAGAAGUGAUGAAGCUUCAUCAGGAAGAGAGCAGGCAGCGGUAGGUGCCUCUUUGGAAGUUUUGCUCUUCUUUGUUGCAAACGGUAAUUUCUCUUCAUUUUUCUUUUCACCCUUCACUUUAUCCUCUUUGGGAGCUUUAGGUGUUGACUUUAUUCUCUUUUUCUUAAUGCUUCUUAACGAACCUGACAGACAGAAUGUAUAAUAAUAUUAAACAAAAAAAGCAAAAAUAUAAUUUAGUAGAGUUUAAUCAUUAUAACAUUACAUAAGCCUACUAAACAAUCGGUUUCUUACAUUGACUAUUCUAAAAAUAAAGUAGUGCUUGAAAAUAAACAGACUAUUGACCAAAAGACAGCUGCUUUACUUUGAGCAGGAGAAGUUGAACCCUUUGUGGUCUUGGUCUUGCGUGCCGCCUUCUUUGUCAUGGAACAUGGGGUGGUAGGUAAUGGUAGGCUGGUGUCUACAACAGAUGUACCAGUACUUUCCUGCCCUCUUGUGUCUGCUACUGCAAGGAUGGUAUAAUUCACACAUAAGCCAGAGCCUGACGCGUUGUGCCUUUUCUCUUUCCUCUCUGUUUUGUUGGCUAUGAGGAAAAAAGUAUUAACAAAUAUUUCCAUUAUUUGUUCCAAAUUAACCCUCUGGUACUUACAUCCCUUAAUAAGUAUAGUAGAUAUUUCAUAGACUGUUAACAACUUUUAGUAAGAGUCUGGCAUGGAAAUGCAUUAAUUAUUAGUGCAAAGUAUUGAGUUAUUUCCUGAUUUAUAAGCAUAGCUGUCAAGAAUAAAAGAGAUACAGAACAGAACAGAACAUAUACAGAUCCAGAACAUGUCACGCUCUUAAAGUUGCAUUACAUAACAUUAUAUUUCUUUUCUCAUAUUGUGUAUUAUAAUGUUCUAUCUGGAUUAACUCACACGGGGUCACUUGAUUUACAGGUGGGAUCAUGACAGAAACUCUGUCUCCUCUUUAGUUUUAUUCAUUUAAUUUUUUCAAAUUAGAAACAUCAAAGACAGAUUUUGUGUGCUAAUAUAAAAAAUUCUUACUGGGAGUCACAUUCAAGUAAGACACAUUUAAAUUAAGUGUACAUGCUAUUUGUUUUUGUGUUUUUCAGUAUCUUGACACACUGCAGUACGCAUCGGAAUUGCACAACAGAAACUGACAAAUUUCCAUGUCCAUCUACCUCGGCUAAACAAUGCAUUGUGUCUCACAUCACAUACAUGUGUACUAUUUUAGACCAGUUUUCUUAUCAGGGUUAGUGUUUGAAUUUUUAAAAACCUACUGAAAGACCUGUUUUGUGUACCAGCCUCCUGGAUUUUCAAGAUUAGUAAAUACUUUUGAAUGUAACUUCAGAGUUUUCAAUUUGAGACACAGCUCACGACAAUAAUCAUGACUGUGGAAAGUUUUAAUGAGAAACAUGGCUUUUACAUUUUGUCUUGGAAGACAAAAAUGGGAUAAUGCCGCUCACAUUGUAGCUGCUUCUGCGUGUGUAUGUAAAGUAUAAAUCAAACCCCGAACACAACUGAUAAGUCAGUACAAGGAAUAUAGCUUUUGCAAUCAAAAUUAUUCAACCCCUAUUGCAAAUGAGACUUUCAGCUCUUUGCAAUGAACAAAUCAAACCAAAGCAAUUGAAAUAGAUCAACACAAGGAAUGCUUCAAGUGGUUUCCCCAAAUUCAACUGAAAAUGCAACUUAUAAUGAUUUCUCUAGUCUCAAAAUUCUUCAACUCCUUCAUGGUAAGCAUCUUUAGUACUUAGUAGGGCACUCUUGUUGUUAUGACCUGCUACAAACGAGAUGCAUAGCUUCUUGCAGUGUUCCUCUGGAAUCUUAACCCAUUCCUCAUGAGCAAUGGCCUCCAGUUCAGUAAUAUUCUUGGGUUUACAUGCUGCAACCACCUUCUUCAAAUCCCACCAGAGAUUUCCUAUGGGGUUCAAGUGAAGUGACUGUGAUGGCACAGUAGAAUAUUCCAGGACCACUUCUGCAACCAAGCCUUGGUGGAAUUUGAGGUACGCAUGGGAUCAUUGUCCUGUUGUAAGGUCCAAUGACGCCCAAGCUUCAGCUUCCUCACUGAAGGAAUGACGUUUUCUCCUAGGAUUUCCUGAUACUUCAAUGAAUCCAUCUUGCCUUCCACACUAUUAUUUAUAUGAUUUUGAGCCAACUUUUCUCACUACUGUGCUUUUGGGUCAGUAGUGGUGUGUGUCUUCUGUGUUCUGGCUUAUAAACAUUCUGUGUUUAGUACACGCCUUACUGUGCUCACUGAAACCUCAGUGCCUGUUGCCACUGUCUUGCUGCACGUCUAUUGCAGUCACUCGAGGGUUUUUCACAACCUGCCUUCACAGAAAUCUGGUUGCAGCCGUUGAUAGCUUCUUUUUUCUGCCCUGUCCAGGUAUUUUUUGUAUUUUCUGCCCCUAGACAGUUCAGGUAUUUCAUGUGUUCAAGCUCAAGCACACCUGGUGCAACUAAUGAAGCCCUUGAUUAAUUGCAUCAGGUGUGUUUGAGACAACACCUGUUUUGCACAUUUAUGAUGUUAUCAGAGAUUGUAUUAAGUGGGUUGAAUAAUUUUGAAGCUAGAGAAGUCAUUAUAAGUUGCAUUUUCAGUUGAAUUUUGGGAAACCACUUUAAGCAUUCAUUGUGUUGAACUAUUUAAAUUGCUUUUGUUUGAUUUGUUCAUUACAGCUGAAAGUCUGUAAAUUUUGACAAUAAACCUGAUUUGCAAUUGAGGUUGAAUAAUUUUGAUUGCAACUCUACAUUACACAUACAUAUGUUACUAAUUUAAUAAUGUUUAAAUGUUAGUGUGAUAAAUCCAGAAUUUUAAAAAAUGUAUGGUGGUCAAGAAUUGGAGAUAAUUAGUGUGAUAUGAAUGCAGAAAAUUCAUAAUGCCCAUUUGGGAUCAAAAAGCUUGAGAAUCCCUAGGCUACACUUCAAGGUUACUUCAAAAUUAGAAAAUAGAUUUUGAAACAGUGACCAAACACAGAUUUGGUUUUAUUAUAUUCUGUUUGGUUUUAUAAGGUUUUAUUUAGCUGUUCCCCAUUAUGCUACUAUCUCAAUAAACAAUCAAAUAAUUGUAUUAACUCAGUAGAGUAAGAUACAUUACACCUAUUAUUACCACUCUAUGAUCAUGCAUGCUUUAAAAAAAAGUUUUGUCUUUCUCACUGUAUUCUCUGUACAAGAUUUUUCACUACAAACAUCAUUAACAACCCAAAGUUUCUCUCUCUUUCAGCUCAGUUUUAAGUCUGAUCUGUAUUGUUAAUUGUAAUCAAUUAAGUACAAGUAUAAUUCAUUUCCAUAAUCAAUUAGUUGGUCGAUUAUUAUUAUUUUAAUUAUUAUUAUUAUUAUUAUUCGAAUAACUUCAACUUCAGUCUAAAACUUUACACGACUGUUUGUCCAAUUACAUAAGACUGAAAAGAACCCAAUACACACAGACACACACCAGAAUAUAUAUUAUUAAUUUAGGACUAGUUUAAUUCAAUGAUUUUUGUGCAUCCAUAAAAAGUACUGUUGACAAACAGUAAACUCAAGAAAGUCAUUGUCGGUGACUCUGGGUAUCUGCUAAAGCUAGCAGCAUCCCAUUACAUGCGCCAUCGACUAGGAAGCAGCUUAUACUUCCAGUUAGUUAAAAAAAAACCCACUAGUGUUCCAUUUGAGACGAUAUUACCUUUCUAAAAUUCAAACACUAGACGGUUGAGUACAUAGUGCAUAGUGCAAGUAUAUAGUGUGUCAUUUGGGUCACAACUUGAGCAUUUACUCUCCAAGGCGUGUUUUCGGAACAGAAGUAACGUAGUAAGUAAAUGUACCCGGUGCCGCACACAGGCCAACUAAUCGAUAAUGAGAUUAAUUGACAACAAUUUUCAUAAUCGAUUAUUAACGAUUUUAUCGAUUAAUUGUUGCAGCUCUAAAUGUUAAUGUGUAAAUGAACAGGAUAUUGAUUGGCCAUGGACCCUAAUUUAUACUGAAUGAUGAUUAGUUAACAGGUAGAGCCUUAUAAGUUUAUCUGUGAUUACGGAGACGAUUUUUCUUUCACGAAUAUUACACCAAAAGGUUUUCAAAACAAAAAAGCAUACAUUAGCUCCCUGAAUAUCACCUAUUAAUAUCGUAUUUAAAUGUGGUUAAAUGCCAGAUAGAACCUUAUAAUACAUGUUUUUCAGCAACCUAUGAUUUACUAAUGUGAAACCAAAAUGCUACUUCUACAACACAGAAAGAACCAAAUGUAUUGGGCUGCAAACCAUUCAGUCACAUUUUGAUUACAUGACUAAUUUGAUUAAUUAUUGAACACACAGUUAGAUAAAUGAAUAACCAUAGCCAUGAGAAUUAAUUCACUUUUUUUUUUUUUAAAGCUUACAUAGCCUUACCUUUAUUAAACUUAUCAGAGAAGCCAUUUAUAGAUGAAAAAUGAUGUGAAGUGUCAGCUUUUGGAGUGUCAUCUAAAGAAUUAUGAAUCUGAGAAUUAUCCUUGAGUCUUAUUGUGUCAUUGGAGUUCUUAGUGGUCAGAUCCAUUGCAUCUUUUUCACAAUAGGUGUCAUCUGUCUGGUGAUUUUCUGGCAAAAUUUCUCCUAAGUCUUUGUUGAUGGACCCAUCUGCAAACAUGAAGGAACCUUCAUCCUGGGUGUGCUCACAACAAUCCACUGCUUCAGACCUAUUAACAUAAAUUAUCCCAGCCAAAGAUAUGUCAUUCUUAGUCUCAGUAUCCCAUAAAUCAUUUAAUGUGUUAUCAUUUCCUUUCCCAGAAGUGGCUUGGUCAUUGCUGGUGCAUAUAUCCUUUUUAACUACAGGUAAACAAUCCUUCUCUGGUUCUUUUGUACAGAGCAUACUCAAAGAUGACUCUGGGGUUUUAUCAAGAGUGUCAUUGGAGGGAUCUGUGUGGUCCUCCUGUUUACACACUGAACUAGUCACAUUGACUUUAUAGUGAGUCCAUCUAAAUUCAGAUACAUUGUUGGUUUUCAUCGGAGAACAUGACAUGUCAGUAGUCUUUUGCUCUGAUUCAUGAGAAGCUUCAUUACCUGUUCCCUGACAAGAAGAUAAUACAAUAUUUGUAUUAGCUAUAACAAGGGGAAGCUCAGAGAACUGUUGGGCAGAUAAACGCUUUUGAGAAGAAACAGAAGCAGUAAAAGGAAAAGUAGAGGUAACAGCAAUAGGUGUAGGGAAUGUACAAAGGCUAGAACUAUCAACACCUGUAUCAGUCAAAAAAUUGGUUUUAGGGCUUGGGAAUUUAGGAGGGGAUUCCAAAGCCCUUUGUGCAGGUGCCAAUGAGAAGGAAGGCCUGGUGAGCAAAGGAGAAUGUGUACUUUGAGAUAAAGGUGACUGAGUAACAUGUACACCACUGGAAUCUUGGUUCUCUACUAUAGGUGUACGGGCUACAUGUCGAACUGAAGAGGUCUUGGAAGGUGAUGCCAGAGACUGGCUCUGAGAUAUAGUUACAGGUGAUAUAGAUAUAGCAGGAGAUGCUUUGGAGCCUUGACUCAUUGGAGAACUAGCAGAUAUUGAAGUCGAAAGUACUGAAGGCACUGUAACAAAAGAUGGUGACAAAGAGACCACAGGAGGUCUUAGUGUUUCGACUAUUAAUGGAGGUGUGGUGAGUAAUUGAGGAGUGGAAGCCACGGCUGAUGUGGUGCUUAUUCCAGGCUUUGGUAAAACUGAAGCAUGUACUGACAGUGGUUGAGGAGAUACCAGAGUAGGCUCAGGAAUAGUUUGAGGAAAUGCUGUUGCCAUUGAUGAUUGAGUGGCAGGGGCAGGAGUUGGACUCAACUCCUUGAAAGUGGUUUCUAUGUCAUGACACAGUUUUGCUGGUUCCGUAUCCACAUCUGCCUGCCAGACUUGCAAAUUAUGGUCAUUAGUGGGUACUAGGGAAGUUUCUGGGGCAUUCAAAGGAAAAUUGUCACUUGUGGACAGCUGUCGGAGGGCAGAUGUCCUCUUAGUACCACUGUAAUCUUGAUCCACGUCUUGGUAGGAAUCAUUUCUACAGACUGGAGCCAACAAGAAAAGAUAAAUAGGUUAUUAAACCAAGCUGGGAAUAUAAAAAUUUAUCAAAUGUUUUUAACAUGUGUGGGACUUUAGUUGCAUGUGAAUUAGCUUUUCAAAAGUAUAAUUCAACAGUAUAAUAUAUUCCAUGUUUUGUAAUGCUCAUCAAAACUAAAAAUUAUCCUAAUAACAUGAGGUGACACAAGGGUCAGGGAUGGCAUCCUGUGUUUCAAAAAAAAAAAAAAAGCAUCCUAUGGUCUUAAGUAGUUUAGGUUAU
This is a long non-coding RNA of Ictalurus punctatus (channel catfish), 11319 nucleotides long. Lineage: Eukaryota; Metazoa; Chordata; Actinopteri; Siluriformes; Ictaluridae. The record is from Ensembl.